RNAcentral lists this long non-coding RNA (516 nucleotides) under Brassica napus (rape). RNAcentral's name for it is "long non-coding RNA (BNAP_LNC011266)". Lineage: Eukaryota; Viridiplantae; Streptophyta; Magnoliopsida; Brassicales; Brassicaceae. The record is from RNAcentral.
AAUAAGAUAAUGGGGAAGGGCAAAGAAAAAGAGUUAGAGCUAAGAAAUGAAAAGAAGGUCCCUAGUUGUUUGAGUCAAAAUAAAAAGAUAGUUAUUCAUUGGGUGAGUGAUGUAAGUGGGUGUUAUUGUUAUUUUGGGUGUUGGGUGAUGUAAUAUGAGGAUAGAACUUGGGAUCACUUGAGAAAAUGGUAGAAUGAUGAGAAUGGAUCUAUGUAUGCAUGAAUUGCUUCUAGUAUUAGAUAACUUUUGCAUAUUGAUCAAGCUCAUUGUUCUUGAGUGAUAACCACCUUGAAAUGAUGCAUUUAAACCCUCCUCUCAUUCAUAUUAGACCAUUUACUUACCUAGCAAAAUGACUGAGAUCAUGUGCCCAUUUGUGAGAAUUCACCUUGUGUGUGUGUGUGUGUGAAUCAAUGUGAGGGCUGGUAAAGAGAGCAUGUUGGUUGAUAGGCAUUGCAUCUUGUGUAGAGGCAUAAGAGUAUUGAUAGGCCUAGAGAAGCUAGAGUAUAAUAAGAGAGU